AUGUAGCCAAGUGGAUCAAGGCAGUGGAUUNNUGAAUCCACCAU
Molecule: transfer RNA, 44 nt
Filed under: Mackaya bella
Lineage: Eukaryota; Viridiplantae; Streptophyta; Magnoliopsida; Lamiales; Acanthaceae
Description: partial tRNA-His
Source: RNAcentral